This 286-nucleotide ribosomal RNA is filed under the name uncultured bacterium. RNAcentral describes it as "partial 16S ribosomal RNA". It matches the Rfam family "Bacterial small subunit ribosomal RNA", at positions 29 to 290 of the family's 1533-position model. The record is from RNAcentral.
AGCGAACGCUGGCGGCGUGCUUAACACAUGCAAGCCGAGCGAAGGUGUUUCAAGGGUAACCUUGAGAUACACUUAGCGGCGGACGGGUGAGUAAUACGUGGAUAACUUACCUCUAGGCCUGGGAUAACCCCGGGAAACUGGGGCGUAAUACCUGAUAAGACCACAUUGUCUACGGACAAAGGGGUAAAAGGUAGGCUGUGCAAACAGCUAUCGCCAAAAGAUAGGUUCACGUCCCAUCAGGCAGUUGGUGAGGUAAUGGCUCACCAAACCAAAGACGGGUAGCCGG